UUUUGGAACUCAUUUUGGGACUAGAUUCUGCAAACGUAGAAUUUGCACAGCUUUACUGUAAUUGUCAUCGUGAAUGAUACCCUAAUUAUACAUUGAUUUAAGGAAGCUAGGCUCACAUCGGAGAUAUACUCUAAUGAUGGUUUCUCUUAGAUUCAUAGAAUCUGCCAUAGAAAAGGACAUUCAUGAUUUGCUAGUUUAACUCCUCUCUACUUUCUUUCACU
RNAcentral lists this long non-coding RNA (221 nucleotides) under Homo sapiens (human). Its description in RNAcentral is "HSALNT0012785". The record is from RNAcentral. Lineage: Eukaryota; Metazoa; Chordata; Mammalia; Primates; Hominidae.